RNAcentral lists this ribosomal RNA (465 nucleotides) under Vreelandella stevensii. RNAcentral describes it as "partial 16S ribosomal RNA". It matches the Rfam family "Bacterial small subunit ribosomal RNA", at positions 338 to 795 of the family's 1533-position model. The record is from RNAcentral. Lineage: Bacteria; Pseudomonadati; Pseudomonadota; Gammaproteobacteria; Oceanospirillales; Halomonadaceae.
CCUACGGGAGGCUGCAGUGGGGAAUAUUGGACAAUGGGGGCAACCCUGAUCCAGCCAUGCCGCGUGUGUGAAGAAGGCCCUCGGGUUGUAAAGCACUUUCAGUGAGGAAGAACGCCUGGUGGUGAAUACCCAUCAGGAAAGACAUCACUCACAGAAGAAGCACCGGCUAACUCCGUGCCAGCAGCCGCGGUAAUACGGAGGGUGCGAGCGUUAAUCGGAAUUACUGGGCGUAAAGCGCGCGUAGGUGGCUUGAUAAGCCGGUUGUGAAAGCCCCGGGCUCAACCUGGGAACGGCAUCCGGAACUGUCAAGCUAGAGUGCAGGAGAGGAAGGUAGAAUUCCCGGUGUAGCGGUGAAAUGCGUAGAGAUCGGGAGGAAUACCAGUGGCGAAGGCGGCCUUCUGGACUGACACUGACACUGAGGUGCGAAAGCGUGGGUAGCAAACAGGAUUAGAUACCCGAGUAGUC